CCAUUGAUUUCGAAAAAAGGAAAAGGAAAAGAAAAAGAAAAAGAAGAAUGAAUCGUUUAACUUUCCGAUCUCACCAAAUUUCUUGUUUGU
This 90-nucleotide non-coding RNA is filed under the name uncultured Nitzschia. Lineage: Eukaryota; Bacillariophyta; Bacillariophyceae; Bacillariales; Bacillariaceae. The record is from RNAcentral.